CUCACGCAGAGGGCAGCGGUUGUAGCACCGGCGCCUUCCCGGUGGGGGUUUUUUGGCCUGGUUUUUUUUUCGUCCGAAGUGAAUUUGGAGUAGCUUUGCUUUGCAUUUGAGCCCCGUCGUUGCUGGAGUAGCCAGCUCUCCCGUAAAGCCGCUCCGGCCCACUUGAGGCUUCCUCAGGUGGUGCAGCCCGCGGGGUGCGGAUCUGAGCCGAGCCAGGGGAGCCCGGCGGAGUGAGCGCGGCGGGGGCACCAUGCCUGCCACCUUCUCCGGCCGCUGCCUGGUGCGCCUGCUGCUGCUGCUGCUCUGCACCAGCCUCUCGGGCGGGAGCCUUGCAGAUCCAGCUAUGACAACACAAGACUCCAAUCAGACUUGGGUGAAUUCUGUGACAAAGAUGCAAGCUGGACAUGAAUCAUCUGGUGCUGCCACACAAGAGCUCAAGCCUGGAAGCAAGCACAGCACUGAUAUCACUGAGUAUGAGAUAGUCCUGCCUGGUGUGUCUGAAAAAAAUAUCUCUUUGGCCAGUCCAGCUACAGUUGAACUUACAUGCAAAUUAGAUGAGAAUUCGAAUUUGAAAGAUCCUCAAGUGACUUGGAAAAGGGGAAGUGAAACAAUCAGUCACACCAGUAAAACUCCAAACAGCUGGACCAUCCAACUGACCAUCUCAGGGAGCAGCGAGCUGGGAAGUUACACUUGUAUUCUGAAGGCUGAAAAAGAAGUCAGUGCCACGUUUCAUUUGCACGUACCAACCAUUGAAGGAAGAGAAAAACCCAUAAUCACUUACAUAGGUGAUACAGCUGUAAUGGUUUGUAAAGCUGAGUAUGAUGCCAAGGCUUGGAUGUGGUAUAUGACCAAUGGAACUGAGCUGGUUCCCAUUGAUAAGGUUUUGCCUCUGGACAAGUUUGAAAUGAAGAUGCUAUCUGCCAGUGAAAACCGUUUGGAGAUACACAAGCUCACCAUGGAAGAUAGUGGUGAAUAUUGGUGUGAAGCUGCUUUUGAAUUAGCGGGCAGUAAAGCGAGGUUUGAACUUAGGGUUCUGUCCAUUGCAGAACCUCUCAAACCCUUUAUAGCAGCUGUGGCUGAAGUUGCUAUUCUUGUAACUACUAUUGCCCUCUAUGAGAUGUAUUCGAAAAAGAAGGCAAAAGGAGGUGGAAAAGAAUUUGACCAAAUUGAGCAACUUAAAUCAGAAGACAAUGUAACCAGAGGAGACAAGUAGUUCUAUGCAGAGAAGGAAGGUUCCUUUCAAGCUUUACCUGCUGAGCUUGAUGCUGUAUGGGAUGGAGAAUGCCUGUGAUCAGCUAGGGGCAGGUGCUCUGGCUGUGUCACUUCCCAACUCUUUGUAUUCCCCCAGCCUCCUUGCUGGCAAGGGAGAGGACAAGGUCUUGUGACAGUGAGAUUUAAGCCAAUAGAAGUGAAAAUUCCCACAAAGCUUCAGAAGAUGUAUACAGCUACUUAAACAUUCACUGUGUUUUGAAGUAAAGUUCUCUACAUUUGAGAAAUAAGAUGCUUUUAAAAUAGCUCUGAAAGUAGUCAUUUUAUACCGAUGAUAAUAUGAUAUAUUGUAUUUAGAAGUUUAUCUGUAACAUUUUACUGCUAGCAGAGUGUUUUUUAUGUGAUUAGGCUUGCUCUUGGUGUAUGAUUAUUUGUUUGAUUUUUACCUCCCAAAUUGGAACUAGCAUUGUAUUCACUGAAAAAAUGGUCAAUAUAAAGUAGGUAUAUUAUCUGAGUGUUACAAAACGGGAUAUAUACAAUGAAAAAAGUAUUUACACCAGAGAAAAUGCCUUUUACUAGCUGAUGAAGCAAAUGUGAUGCAGCUAUUUUUACCAAAGAAAUGGUGAAAGAGGAAUCUUUAUCAGGACUUAGAGUAAAUCACAACUCUCUCAAUGUUUCAUUUGAGUAGUAAAAUACCUUCAUUCUAACUUAUCUUAGCUUCAUUCUCAGUUCUACUGUAUUUUAGUCCUUAGUAAGCUAAACGCAUAGAUGCCAUACAGCUCAGAUAUUUCAGAGUUGAAGAAGUAUUGGGGAUACAGUACCUUCUCAGACUAAAAUUGCAAUAAUUCCUUAUGCUUGAAAAAAAUACUGCACUCUCUGGGGCUGCAAGACCAGUUUGGUUAUUAUAAUUUAUAUGGAAUGCUGAAUUUUCAGGAAUACACCUAUAUAUGUUUCUGAUGAUACAUACUUUCUAGUUGGUACUUCUGCUUCUUUCAGUAAGCUGUUGUUUCUCAAACUCCUUGCAAAGCACAGAGUGGGUCCUGAGCAGCUAAAAUUUUCAGGAUAAUAGGAUGAAGCAGCAUGAGUACCAUUACUACUCUUACACAAAAAAUUAAACGCUGCUGUUAAUGAUUUACAGUAUUGCUUUAGAAGAGUGAGUUGUCAUAAUACUGUUCAGUUACAUUAUGCAUUCAGCAAUUGUAAAUGUUUAGCUAAUAAGAAAAUGGUUGUAUCAGUUGCCUUUGCUUGAAAUAAUUAAAGCUUCUCUUUUGAGAGGAAGUAAAUUCUUCAGGAAAUUCUUUUCUCCAUAAAAACGUAAGGAAAGAGGCAGCAUUUGCAGACUCCAUGAGAAAGUGGAAGAAAAUAAAUACACAGAAUUUCUUUGUACUGGUCAUUUUUUUUUUGAAAAUAAAGGAAGGUAGAAAAAAUAGAUAAAACAAAUUGAAUUCCCUUUCUUGAUUUUUUUUUUUUCUGUCUUAUUGUCCUUAUGGGUUUUAAAAAUAUCAGAAAUCCUAGCAUUGGCUGUUUCGUUGGAAAUAGGAGUUAAAAUCCAGUUUGACAUAUGCUUUUUUGUUUUUUGUAAUUCAUUUUCCAGUUUGAAGAAUUACAAGUUAAGGUCCAAAUAAGACACAAUGAGAAGUAUGGAAGCAUUGGGUGAUUGACUGUAAGGAGUGAACACUGAUAAAUAAGGAGUGAACACUGAUAAAGAUUCCCCUUUGCUUAGAUACUGUGUUUAUUGUAUUUUGCCUUGGAGUUUCUAUGCACUAUUACAACUAGAAUGCGUCUACAGUUUUUUAUAAGAAUUUCUCAUUGAUACAAUUGAUGUUUUUAUUGUAUCAAGUAAAUGUGGGCAGUUUCAAAAUGUUUUCUUCUUUAAAUGUUUGUAAAUUUUUGGCAUAUUUUAGAGUUUGUAGUAAUUUGUUUACUGUAGGCAGUUAAAUAGUAAUAAAGUUAUUCUUACUUAGCUAAGAAUUACAUUCUGAAUAAAGCAGCAUUAAUAUAUUUUACAAUGGAAAUGAGGCUAGAUGCUAUCUGGAAAAAAACCUGCCAGUUAAUGAGAAAUAUUAACAAUCUUUCUGCCUUCAUAUAACAUUCCUACCUGAUCUUGCAGUUGGACUGUAAAGUCUUGGCUAACAUAGGCAAGUUAUACAGAUGGAUAGUUUUUUAGCAUUAGCAGGGAAAACCUGGAUUAAGCAUGGAUUUUAGAAGCAGCACAUCUUAGAUCUUUAAGGGCUAUAUAAGCUUGGUCAGACUGGCUGCUAAAGCUAUAGCUUUGCCUUGACCUGCCUCUAGCAUGUUCUGCUUGCUUUUUCUGAGGGGUUUGGUGUUUAUUUUUAGGUUGAUUAGUAGUUUUUCAUGAUUAUAAGAGGUUUUAUUCUAUGCAUGUUCUCCUAGGUUUAAAACCCUUUUGGGCUGCCCUGUGGAGGGUAAGAACAAAUGAUAUUAAAUGGUAAAUAUUAAGUAAUUGUCAUAAUUAAUGGUCAACUUCAAAGGCAUAAACUCUGCUUUUCUUGCUCUAAGUACCACAAGCUCUGGAAAUCUUGAAGUUUAUCUUUUGGGAAGCAUGUGUUGGGUAUGUUCAGAACAUUCCCACUGUACUUGCUUUAUGAUCUUAGCAUUGAAUAGAACAAAAAUUUGUAACUUUAAAAAAGCCUUAAAACUCUAGCCAGUGAUUUAUUAUUUUUCAUUUCAUUCAAGCUGGAGAAUACCAAAUCUUUCCAAAUAAGAUCCAAAACAAUUGUGAAAUUUCUUUCAAACACCAGUUGGAGCUAAGUGUAAUGAUCCACAAAAUUAGUUUUAAUAACAAAACAUUAACAACAGACUUACAUUGGUAGACCGGAUCUUAACUAUAACUGUUUGACAAAUUUUGUCUUCCCAGAUUAAAACCUUUUCUUGCAAGAGGGGAUAUUUUACUGGAUUUUAGACCAGCAAAAGCCUUACCAGUUUCAUAGCGGAAAAGGUUGAAAUCUGCCAAAGAAUCCUGGAGGCCUGUUUCCUAAACCUUGAAGCUGCUACACUGCAGAUUCUUCCUGCCCUUGGGUCCAAAGUAGACACAAGCAGCUGUGAGACCAAAUUCCUAGUGAAGAUGGGGUUCAAACAGGACUACAUUAAUAUUUCUUUAGUGUGGAAGCAUACCUAAGCAUUACCCUGCAGUUGUUCAGCAGAAUUGGUUAGCUGUGGGUCCUUCAACUCAUGUAAUUCUGGGGAAGAGAGUGACAACUCAUACGUACUGGUGCUGCUGCUAGAAUCAGCAUCCAUGUGCCUUUAACUCUUUUUCAGCCAGAAGAAGUGAGGUUUAUAGUCCUUUAAAUUGUGCCUCAGAACUUUUGAACAGUUGAUUGCUGAGCAAUGAAAAUUGAAAAGAAACUGAUUGGUACCUUAAGGGCAGGGGUGGUUUUUGAGAUGUGUGACACUCUUAAGUGUUGAGCUACCCAGCACAUGUUGUCUGACCACGAUUAGCUGCAUCAUGGUUCAGUUCUAGCUGGAAGCUCCCCUGAAAUAGCAAGGUGCGGAUAGUGAGGGAGCAACAAGAUGAGAAAGUUUUAGGGACAUGAGAAGGAACUGCAUUUUAUUGUUUUGUAGGGGUCCUGAGGGACAGACAGCAGAAGCUGAGGUGACUUAAAAUUAGUCAUGUACAGGGAACACGGAAUGCAAGAGAACACAGUCUCAGUGGUACAAUUGAAAACAUGUUUAGGAAGUUUUGUAUAGCAGCUGAAAACAAUCUGCCAUUGCUGAACACUUGGACAGAUGAUAGCACAAAGCUAAAUGAGAUGUCUCAUAAGAGAACUAAAAGUUCCAUGCUUAGAAAAUACUUCUCUGCUAGUUUAACAGUUUUGUAGUCUUGCUACUUCAUUAUGCUAGAAUGUGCAUACAUAAUUCUUUGUGAAAAAAUAAACUACCAAGUUUCAAACUUUACAGCUUCUAAUGGAAGAUCUUGAUUUGUCAAAAUGUACUGUUGGCAAUUGAGUUAAUUUGUGUAGUUGUAUAGUGUUUGUUCUGUCAUACCCAAAAUUACUUCCUUCCAGAAACUUUUUCUGCUUUGGUUUUGCAUUCAGCUUUAUAUUUAACCAAAGAUAUUUUGGGGCUUUUUAUUACUUACAAUAUUUCUAUUGACUGACUUGCUGAAUUAUUUUCAGAUUGACAUUAAAAGUUAACAGUGCCUUGAAGGAAGACUUUGUUUACCAUAGUUAAUCUUGUUUUUCUCUUUUGCAAUAUGUUUGCUAAAAGUUUCCCUCUGAAACUUGACAGCAAAAUCUGUUUGUCUAGUAAAAGACUACUAAGCCUAGUGCUUUUUUCACGCUCGCCUUAUUUUGCAUUCUGAUUUUAUGUUCUGUGCUCACACAACUGUUCUAUUUUAUUACUUAAUGGAAAUGCCUUCUGUUUGUUUGAUGUAUAUCACAUAAUGAGGAUGGUAGUUAUGAAUAGUGUGAAUUGAUAUGUGUACUUAGAAAUAAUUUCAAUAAAUUUAACUAUAAAGGGA
Molecule: RNA transcript, 5689 nt
Organism: Passer domesticus (house sparrow)
Lineage: Eukaryota; Metazoa; Chordata; Aves; Passeriformes; Passeridae
Gene: EMB
Gene name: embigin
Exons: 11
Source: RefSeq, a predicted model, not a curated record